UACGGAGGGUGCGAGCGUUGUCCGGAAUCACUGGGCGUAAAGGGCGCGUAGGCGGCCUGGUAAGUAGGGGGUGAAAUCCUGCGGCUUAACCGCAGGGCUGCCUUCUAAACUGUCAGGCUCGAGCACGGUAGAGGCAGAUGGAAUUCCCGGUGUAGCGGUGGAAUGCGUAGAGAUCGGGAAGAACAUCAGUGGCGAAGGCGGCCUGCUGGGCUGUUGCUGACGCUGAGGCGCGACAGCGUGGGGAGCAAACAGG
Molecule: ribosomal RNA, 253 nt
Filed under: uncultured bacterium
Lineage: Bacteria
Description: partial 16S ribosomal RNA
Rfam family: Bacterial small subunit ribosomal RNA
Source: RNAcentral